UUCCCAUGGCUGAAUCCUUUGUCUCGCCACUGAGGGCUGCAGGUACGAGCAUGCUUGACUGAUUUCUUGUAGUAACCAGGAUACAUAUUCCACCAAAUCACCCUUUAUGGUUUGCCUAUUGUUUUGAUAUGUUCUACAUCAUGAUCAAACAAUUAACAAUGCCUAAUAAGCAGAAUGCAAUCCUAAGAAUAUGCCUUAAAAAAUUAGACCAGGUACAAAAAACUACAAAUAGCACAUGCACAAUCUUUUUAUGUAUAUUAGAAAAAUGUUCAUGUCAUAUAUCUGCAUGGUGAAAUAUUAAGCAAUUGUUAACUCAAAAUUAGCAUCGUAAAGUAUAUGCAGUUAUGGGGAGGUGUUGAAUACCUUAGAUGCAUUGAGAAUUACAUCAAUCAAACUUUUGGCACAUAAAUCUAGUGGUUGGAGGUGCAUUUAGCCAUGCUUCUCAUCAAGAUCUGAUCACUUGAAUCCGAAGCAAGAUGAGCACUUUGUAUAGUUAAUCAAAAAGCUGAAUACGCAAAAUGUAUCGAGAAUUAAUUGGUGUACUGCAUAAAUCAAACUUUUGACCCAAAAAAUAAAACCAUAUAACUUUGUAUUAAUCUUCAGUUUCUAAAAAAUGAACACACUCCAUGUAUGCAUUACUCUACCAAGGAUGCACAUACAAUCUGCAUUUCGGCAGCAUGUUGGGAACUAAAAAGUGACGAAUUGGAGAUGUAUGAAACAAAAAUAUGGCAAAUACCACGGGAAACAAUUGAUAUAUUCCUCACAUCUCUGAUCAAGCCAUUGUAGCCAAAAAAACAUGCAGGUCGGAAACACAAAAAAUAGAUCUUGCAUGUUUGUCAACAAACGCCUAUCAAAAUUCCAAGAUCACAUAUAUGACAUAUCUACCAGACCCUGAAUCAAAGUAAAUUUCCUUCCUUAUUACAUUAGCUAUUACCCAAUGGUGCAGUGGACAGUUAUGAACCACAAGCACAUUGCAUACCAAACAAGUAAGCCAAACCGUGGACAAUAAGCGCAUAAAUCCAUUUUUACAUAAUAAACGUUACAUCUUAUCAUUUUCUAUUUGCAAACAAAUAUGUUGUUAUUAGUUAGUCAGUUUGUACUUGUCUAAAAAUUAACGAAACAUGUUAAUAUGCAGCAGAAAAUGAUAUUUUUUAACAAGGCCUCCUGGAAACGUGUGCUAUAUAACCUUUGUGUCUGCGUGGAGCAUACCUCAGUUCAGUCCUACAGCCCUUUGAUGUAGUCUACAACAAUAUCCAGCAUAUCUGAAGUAUUUGUUUGCUGCGUCUUCAAGAAGAAACUUAACAUGUUUCCAGCAAUUGUAUUGAACGACUUCUCCGAGAGAAUAGCUGCGCAAAUGCUAUUAUGAAAUCUGAAGUAACUAAGGUCCGAGUCAUCAACAACUACCAAGGUUCUGAAUUUCCAUGGGCAACACUUCCAGUUUGGAUUAGAAUCAUCAGUUUUAGUACGUUAGAAUUUAGUUUUGUAUCGCUGAAAGUCAUCAGUUUUGGUACUUUAGAGGGUACAAGCUUCUGUAACUCAUGGUGAAAAAUUCAUCUCUAUAUAUUGACAUGAUUGAUAAAAAGGGCAAC
This 1589-nucleotide long non-coding RNA is filed under the name Triticum aestivum (bread wheat). RNAcentral describes it as "long non-coding RNA (TAES_LNC007661)". Lineage: Eukaryota; Viridiplantae; Streptophyta; Magnoliopsida; Poales; Poaceae. The record is from RNAcentral.